CUCUAGUCUGGCACGGUGAAGAG
Molecule: non-coding RNA, 23 nt
Filed under: Gallus gallus (chicken)
Lineage: Eukaryota; Metazoa; Chordata; Aves; Galliformes; Phasianidae
Also listed under: 2 other names
Source: RNAcentral